Molecule: ribosomal RNA, 363 nt
Filed under: Triticum aestivum (bread wheat)
Lineage: Eukaryota; Viridiplantae; Streptophyta; Magnoliopsida; Poales; Poaceae
Description: partial small subunit ribosomal RNA
Source: RNAcentral
AUGGACUUCCAGCGGCGUUACUCUCCGGCCUCCGCCUAUGCUGUUCAAUUCCACGGAUCUCACCCCAGUUCCUGUCCACAAAAGAUCUGGUUGGCGCAUGCUGAGCCAAAAUGCAAUUUCUUCUCCUGUCUCGUUCUUCACGGUAGAAUCCUCAUUUCCGACAUGCUUGCCAUCCAUGGGUGGCCGCACGACCCGAUCUGCAAGCUAUGUCUGCGUGCUCCUGAGACUGCCAUGCAUCUCUGCAAAGACUGCCCCUUUUCCCAGGCUGUCUGGAGCAACGUUCAAACUUGGACUGGUGAGAUCAUCCAGGCUACUACCGUGCAGGGCACAACUCAGGGGGUCUCAGAUUGGUGGAGACCAUGA